CCCUCGUUAGUAUAGUGGUCAGUAUCCCCGCCUGUCACGCGGAGGAGACCAGGGUUCAAUUCCCCGACGGGGAG
This 74-nucleotide transfer RNA is filed under the name Merluccius polli (Benguela hake). It matches the Rfam family "tRNA". Rfam says of the family: Transfer RNA (tRNA) molecules are approximately 80 nucleotides in length. Lineage: Eukaryota; Metazoa; Chordata; Actinopteri; Gadiformes; Merlucciidae. The record is from Rfam by way of RNAcentral.